RNAcentral lists this small RNA (92 nucleotides) under Arabidopsis thaliana (thale cress). RNAcentral describes it as "ATSL227390". The record is from RNAcentral. Lineage: Eukaryota; Viridiplantae; Streptophyta; Magnoliopsida; Brassicales; Brassicaceae.
UCCUUCCUUUGGAUCAUUUUUUGCUCCUAACCAUGUAAGACACAAACAAAGCUCCAAACAGUAACGCAGAGACGAAAUGCAAGUUGUGCCAC